GGCGGUUGAAAGUAAGAGUGAGUCGUUCCCUUCCUUGAGCACUUGUGGAAUCCAUCAAGCAUUUGUGAAGUUUUUAUUACUCUUGGAGGUGAAUCCUCCUAGAUGGCUAUCUAGGAGUUGCUCGGCGAGCUCCCAAGUUUUUAAUGAGUAGUAGAAAGAUUGUGAAGGCAUCGAUCUCGCCUCUGCAAGGGAAUAGAUCAAGAUAGUGAAGUGAGGGUUGAAAGAGGCCCAUCUCAAGUGCUACCAAGCCCCUCAAUUUAAUGUUAUAGUUAUUUUGCAGUGGCUAGUUGAAGUUCUUCUCUCCCCUGAAAGACUGCCUAAGAAGUGUUCAUCAUCAACUUUACGGUGCAAGCCAUCCUCAUGUUUGGCGUGGCCACUGUCCAAGGUAUCAUCCUUAUAUCAAGAUAGUAGAAAAUGUUUGAUAAGUCUAUAGCCCUUAGUGGC
RNAcentral lists this long non-coding RNA (444 nucleotides) under Setaria viridis. Its description in RNAcentral is "long non-coding RNA (SVIR_LNC010987)". Lineage: Eukaryota; Viridiplantae; Streptophyta; Magnoliopsida; Poales; Poaceae. The record is from RNAcentral.